ACUUCCUGGUAUUUGAAGAUGCGGUUGACCAUGGUGUGUACGCUUUCUUUAUGACGUAGGACACAUGGUCUACUUCUUCUCAAUAUCA
Colobus angolensis palliatus is the source of this 88-nucleotide microRNA precursor. NCBI's taxonomy places the organism in Eukaryota, Metazoa, Chordata, Mammalia, Primates, Cercopithecidae. The record is from Ensembl.